CUUGGUUCCAGCCAUGCCAUCCCUCAGUCCCGCUGGCGGCUGCUCUGGUAGGGUUGGGGCCAGAGUGGAGGCUCCUGGUGGAGGGGGGAGGGCAGCAGUCAGAGGGAGAAGGCACCACGGUGGCCCCAGUAAGCACAGAGCCACCCAGGGGCACUUGGGUGAAGGGCACAGGGGUCUGUUCCCCCCACCAGCACAGUUUGGCAGGGAGGUCUUCCCCACGCAGUGGAAGGACUCCAAGUCCUGCCAAGGUUGGGUGGCUGGCAAGGGAACGGAUGGCAGUGCCGUGGCCCUGCCCUGGGCCAGCCAGUACCAGGGGGAGUCCCACUGCAGCAGGAGGGGGAUGCAGGUACCAGGGUGCCAUCACGCUGUGAGGUUGUGAGCAGACUUGGAGGCAAUCUGUGCCCUCUGGAUCACCGCCUGGCACUUCUCCCGCCGCAGCAGCUUGUUGUUCUCGAAGAAGCCCUCGUUGCGGGGAACCCCAUGAGAGCCAUCAGGGAAUGUCAGGAGACCAAAGCCAUACACACGUCCGCCUUUGAACUCGCCCUCGAAGGUCAUGUUGUCAUAGCGGGUGAAGACGCCGACACCGCUAAAUUUGCCCUGCACAAACUCCCCCUCAUACCUGGAGCCGUCGGCAAAGCUGAGCACGCCGCAGCCAUGGAAGAGCCCAUUCUCAAAGUGCCCCACGUAGGCGGUGCCAUCGGCAAACGUCAGCUGGCCGAUACCGUGCCUGCGUCCUUCCUUCCACUCGCCGCGGUACUCCUCCCCGCUGGAGUAGGUGAAGGAGCCUUUGGUCAGGGUCAUGGCAGCAGCCUCGGGAGCGCUGGGCAAAGAGCUGGCUCCGCGCUCGUCGCCCGCACCGCUCGUCCGCUCCCCCACCGGGGUCCCGCCGAGGGGCGGCGGCGGCGCGGCC
RNAcentral lists this long non-coding RNA (910 nucleotides) under Gallus gallus (chicken). The record is from RNAcentral. Lineage: Eukaryota; Metazoa; Chordata; Aves; Galliformes; Phasianidae.